Molecule: non-coding RNA, 491 nt
Organism: Camellia sinensis
Lineage: Eukaryota; Viridiplantae; Streptophyta; Magnoliopsida; Ericales; Theaceae
Source: RefSeq, a predicted model, not a curated record
GAUGCGGCAAAUUUUAAUAUUGAUGGUCAUUAUCCAGUGAGGGAGUUGUGGGAUCGUGCUAGAAGCUGCUGGACCAAAAUCUUAACUCACGAAAGCAGGUCUGUUCUUGUGGUUGCUCACAAUGCUGUUAAUCAGGCCCUCGUUGCAACAGCGAUUGGCUUAGGCACCGAGUAUUUCAGGAUUUUACUGCAGAGCAAUUGUGGUGUGACUGUGCUGGAUUUCACCCCACGACUAGAGGGUGGGUCUCCAUAUAUAUGUCUUAAUCGCUUAAAUCAGACCCCAAAUUCACCUAUUGCAGCUGGAAGUUCUGGAGGCAGAAAAACCAGUAAUCGGAUAAUUCUUGUUUGUCAUGGAUCCUCACAGAGCGGCUCAGAGGUAUGAAAUGAUGUUUAAUGAGAGCCAAGUGGUUUUGUGUAUGACAUUCAUAUUAAUUUAUUUUGUGGUUGUGUAAGCAAAAUUAUGAAUGUGAGUUUCUUUCUUUUUCGUUUGCA